GACGAACGCUGGCGGCGUGCCUAAUACAUGCAAGUAGAACGCUGAAACUUGGUGCUUGCACCGAGCGGAUGAGUCGCGAACGGGAGAGUAACGCGUAUGUAACCUGCCUGGCAGCGGGGGAUAACCAUUGGAAAGGAUAGCAUAUACCGCAUAAGAGUAGACGUUGCAUGACAUUUGCUUAAAAGUUGCAAUUGGACCACUACCAGAUGGACCUGCGUUGUAUUAGCUAGUUGGUGGGGUAACGGCUCAUCAAGGCGACGAUACAUAGCCGACCUGAGAGGGUGGGCGGCCACACUGGGACUGAGACACGGCCCAGACUCCUUCGGGAGGCAGCAGUAGGGAAUCGUGGGCAAGGGGCGGAAGUCUGUCCGAGCAGCGCGGCGGGAGUGAAGAAGGAUGUCGGGUCGUAGAGCUCGGUUGUAAGGGUAGAACGGGUGUGAGAGUGGAAAGUUCACACUGUGACGGUAUCUGACCAGAAAGGGACGGCUAACUACGUG
This 497-nucleotide ribosomal RNA is filed under the name uncultured bacterium. Its description in RNAcentral is "partial 16S ribosomal RNA". It matches the Rfam family "Bacterial small subunit ribosomal RNA", at positions 28 to 507 of the family's 1533-position model. The record is from RNAcentral.